Molecule: RNA transcript, 1238 nt
Organism: Cyanidioschyzon merolae strain 10D
Lineage: Eukaryota; Rhodophyta; Bangiophyceae; Cyanidiales; Cyanidiaceae
Exons: 1
Source: RefSeq, a predicted model, not a curated record
GCUCACUUUCGCGUGCACCUAUAUAGGCUAGCAAUUCGCAUCGAGCUGAUUUUAUUGCUAGGAAUAUCGAAUAAUGGAAUAUGAUGAUCGUCUACCGACUGUCCAUAGAAAUCGUUUCAGGUGGAAAGAUGUGCGCGGUACUGGAGCCUUGCUGGAUUCCUGAACCGUGCCACCCCUGUGGGUUGCUCCAGGCGGGAAUCCAAGCUCGCGCUCUUGGCCACUGAUUUUUUCAACGCAAGUCUUGUAUAUUUCAGCGCAAUACCUACACUAAGUCCAGAAUGAUUGCAUCGAAGAAAAUCGCUCGACGUAAAGCCACCGGACGCUUCUGAAGUACGAGACAUCUUCGAAUGUUAAUCGGAGCGGUCACGUUUUGGUGCGGAAAGUGCUUGCGCGGAUAUAGUUGCCGAUCGAAGAACUCCAUAGCGAGCCUUUUUAUUUUUAAUGGCCUCGGCAUCGGAUGCUCGGUUGGCUCACCUCGCACAAAACUCAAGCGCACGGAUCCGCUCCAAACUCUUCUUCUGUGUCUGUCAGAGCGUUCACCCGUGCUCAUGACGUGUGUAUGUCGCUGUAACCGCAUCGACGGGAAUUGAGCAGAGCCGAUUUCUGCACUCGUGGUACGCUAUCGGCGAGAAUGCAGGAGUCCACCCAUUCCGUACCACGGCACGUCCAGUGCAAUUUGCUAUCACCAUCAAACGAUGCUAUGCGUCUUUUAUAUCCCCUCCCUGGAUAUUGAGCCAGUUGGUGGAUGCACAUUUCAUACCCCGUCUAAUGCACGUCAUUGGCGACUCCAGCUCUGUGUUGUCCAUGUCCACGAAACACGGUCCGCACGUGCAACUUGGACACUUGUAUGCGCUCCGAACGAGACAUACAAAGCAUAACGCCAUGCUCGAUGCGGUGCUCAGAACGUCGAGAUAACUUUCGACGCCGUCAUUCCUCUUGUUCGUAUGCGUCCUGGCGUCUGCCAUGCCCGACUCUCUAUACUAGUCAAUGUUGAAACCGUUUAGCCGCUUGGCUUGCUUUCCAUUGACGUCUUUUGAUCCAUGCGCAUGAUUUCAGGGUUCGGCGGCCGCUGUAACCUCCUCGAACCCGGGAUACAUGCUCAUCACAAAGUUUUGCUCUUCAUUUGCCUUGAAUGAAUGGAAAUAAGCUCCGUUGCUCGAUGUAGGCCUAGGUUUCAUGAAGUGCAUGCAGAUGGACAUGUCGCCGAUCCGCAUCUUCCCGGUAAACUUCUUUUCAUU